Molecule: ribosomal RNA, 17 nt
Filed under: Cristataria turcica
Lineage: Eukaryota; Metazoa; Mollusca; Gastropoda; Stylommatophora; Clausiliidae
Also listed under: 1 other name
Description: partial 5.8S ribosomal RNA
Source: RNAcentral
CCCGUCUGAGGGUCGGC